CACGUAGGCACCAAGCGUUGUCCGGAUUUAUUGGUCGUAAAGAGCUCGUAGGCGGUUCAGUAAGUCGGGUGUGAAAACUCUGGGCUUAACCCAGAGACGCCACCCGAUACUGCUGUGACUUGAGUACGGUAGGGGAGCAGGGAAUUCCUGGUGUAGCGGUGAAAUGCGCAGAUAUCAGGAGGAACACCUGAGGUGAAGACGGGUUGCUGGGCUGACACUGACGCUGAGGCGCGAAAGCCAGGGGAGCAAACGGG
This 254-nucleotide ribosomal RNA is filed under the name uncultured bacterium. RNAcentral's name for it is "partial 16S ribosomal RNA". It matches the Rfam family "Bacterial small subunit ribosomal RNA", at positions 524 to 776 of the family's 1533-position model. The record is from RNAcentral.